RNAcentral lists this ribosomal RNA (468 nucleotides) under uncultured bacterium. RNAcentral's name for it is "partial 16S ribosomal RNA". It matches the Rfam family "Bacterial small subunit ribosomal RNA", at positions 28 to 507 of the family's 1533-position model. The record is from RNAcentral.
GACGAACGCUGGCGGCGUGCUUAACACAUGCAAGUCGAACGGAAAGGCCCUGCUUUUGUGGGGUGCUCGAGUGGCGAACGGGUGAGUAACACGUGAGUAACCUGCCCUUGACUUUGGGAUAACUUCAGGAAACUGGGGCUAAUACCCGAUAUGAUCUCCUGCUGCAUGUUGUGGGUUGGAAAGUUUCGGCGGUUGGGGAUGGACUCGCGGCUUAUCAGCUUGUUGGUGUGGUAGUGGCUUACCAAGGCUUUGACGGGUAGCCGGCCUGAGAGGGUUACCGGCCACAUGGGGACUGAGAGACGGCGCAGACGCCUACGGGAGGCAGAAGGGGGGAAUAUGGCACAAUGGGGGGAAGCCUGAGGCAGAAACGCCGGGUGCGGGAUGACGGCCUUCGGGUUGUAAACCGCUUUCGCCUGUGACGAAGAGUGAGUGACGGUAAUGGGUAAAGAAGCACCGGCUAACUACGUG